Molecule: unclassified non-coding RNA, 160 nt
Filed under: uncultured Stephanonectria
Lineage: Eukaryota; Fungi; Ascomycota; Sordariomycetes; Hypocreales; Nectriaceae
Description: sequence contains ITS1
Source: RNAcentral
UUGAGUUCUAAACAACUCCCAAACCCAUGUGAACAUACCUUUUGUUGCUUCGGCGGAUCGCCCCGGGUGCCUUUGUUGCGCCCCGGAUCCAGGCGCCCGCCAGAGGACCGAAACUCUUGUAUUACUUUAGUAUUCUCUGAGUGGAUUACACAAAUAAUCA